This 439-nucleotide non-coding RNA is filed under the name Allomyces macrogynus ATCC 38327. Its description in RNAcentral is "Eukaryotic large subunit ribosomal RNA". It matches the Rfam family "Eukaryotic large subunit ribosomal RNA", at positions 1456 to 1888 of the family's 3401-position model. Lineage: Eukaryota; Fungi; Blastocladiomycota; Blastocladiomycetes; Blastocladiales; Blastocladiaceae. The record is from Rfam by way of RNAcentral.
GGUAGUAGCAAAUAUUCAAAUGAGAACUUUGAAGACUGAAGUGGAGAAGGGUUCCGCAAGAACAGUGAUUGGUUGCGGGUUAGUCGAUCCUAAGAGAUAGGGAAACUCUGUUUCAAAGCAGCGCAUUUUUUCGCGCUCUCUAUCGAAAGGGAAUCUGGUUAACAUUCCAGAACUUAAGCUAGCAUGUUAAAGCGGCGACGCAAAAGAACUCGGUGACGUUGGCAAGGGGCCUGGGAAGAGUUUUCUUUUCUUUUUAACACGUAAACGACUGUGGAAUCGAUUUGCUCGGCGAAGCAGUUGCAUGCGUGGAAGAGCAGGACCAUUUUGGUCUUGUCCGGUGUCCUCUUAACGACCCUUGAAAAACCGAGGGAUUUUAUUAGUGUCUAGUUAAGUCGUACCCAUCACCGCAUCAGGUCUCCAAGGUGAACAGCCUCUAGUU